CUAAAAUUGGAAUGAUACAAAGAAGAUUAGCAUGUUCAAGGAUAACACUGCAAAUUUGUGAAGCCUUCCAUAUUUUU
Cricetulus griseus (Chinese hamster) is the source of this 77-nucleotide small nuclear RNA. NCBI's taxonomy places the organism in Eukaryota, Metazoa, Chordata, Mammalia, Rodentia, Cricetidae. The record is from Ensembl.